UGUCUUAACCAAGAUCCUCCACCCCUCUGUUUCUUUCCCAUUUCUAAGUUCGGACUCCAGUUUCUGGCAGACAGGGAAGUGCUGAAGACCGGAGCUUCCUCUUCUGUGACCAGGAGUCAGGGCACAGACUCCUUCCCUGUGUUCCCGCCAGAUCGCCAGGGGGCAGGCUGCUCCGGUAUCACGGAAGUCCGAUCCGGAGAAUAUCGCGCGCGUGAAAACCCAAGGUCCAAAGUAGGUGCUGUAUCCGCCACAGUGCACCGAAGGGGCCGGGUUCGCUCCGCGGUGCUCUUGAUCGCUUCCUGCCCUUAGGUCUGGAAGUCUCUGAGGCCCGGAAACCCCUGGCGGGCCCUGCAGACCAUUCUGUCUUUGUUGUCUUGGUUGGGCUGGUGAGAUCACUAGGCCUGAUUGACUACAGCGCCUUGAGCUCCUGCUGGGUUCUGGCUGCAUUUAGGUCUGUACCGCGUUGUCCACAGCCCGAGCAUUUGGUGAUGUUUUUCCUCGGAUCUAGGCUAUCGGUGGAGCAGGCGUGUGCUUUGCUGAGUCCCGCCACCUUGGGGAGGACCCCAAGAUUUGCAAAACAAAAGUAAACUGCGGGAGGGGAGGGCAUUUUCUGUGUCCCCAUCAACCAUCUACCAAGUAAGACUUGUACCUUGAGACAGGGAAAUCAGAGAGCAUUUGUGAUAGAGUGAUUCAUAUUUUAGACUUUUGGCCACUAGCCAGAGUUUGGUAUGAGUGCUUUAUCGCCCUCAGGUCCUCACUGUUAUUCUUUGAGAUGGUUAUUGGUCCACCAGAGCGCAGGUGCGGCAUGACAGAGGAAUCCUUAGGAGGCUCCUACAUUUUGGUAGGCAGGAGACCCUCCUCUGCGGCCCUUGUGUCCUUUGUGAGUAGAGACAGGAUCCAGGAGUGCCUGCACUUGUAACUCCUACUCCCCUUUCACCCCCACCCCCACUUCCCACCACCUUCUGCUCCUAUCCACCCAUCACACAAGAAGUCCAGAACUGUAGCAGUGAUCUGCUUGGGAAAUAGCCUGGUGUUCUGAAACUGAGGUGAGCAAGCAGGGGGAAAGAUUGUUGGUGAUCCCUGAGGCUGCCGAAAGGAGAAACAAAUGCAGAAAUGCUGCAAGCUAAAGCCACAGUAGAUUAGCUUCGUUUCUAUGUAGCCAGCCUGGUGUGGUGCUCACAGGUCCUCAACAGAUUGUGUUUGUUGAAGUGUUUAACUGGAUAAGGACACAAGGGAUGAUACACAGCUUGCAAGAAGAGGCAGAUAUCUUAGUUCCAGCUACUAGGGAGGCUGAGAAAAGAGGAUCACCUGAGGACAAGAGUUCAAGGCCAGCAUCAGGCAACCUCAGGGGAAAACCAGGAAAGAGAGAGAGAGAGAGAGAGAGAGAGAGAGAGAGAGAGAGAGAGCGCAACCAGCCUAGGCAGUAAAGUGUAAAAUGCUUUUCUUGCUUUGCAGUCAUGAGGACCUGAAUUUUAUCCCCAGAACCCAGAUAACAAUAGUCCGAUGUUCACUCUUCAUCAUUCUAGAGCUGGGGAGAUGAAGACAGGCUGGUCUCUGGGCCUCACUGGCUCAAAAGUCUAACCUAAUCUGCAAACUUUAGGGCCUAGUGAGAGACCCUGUCUCAAAAAAGCAAAUGUGGACAGCUCCCAGAAUGAUAUCAGAGGAUGUUCUUGGGCCUAUACACAGACAGACAGCACAGUCACACACACACACACACACACACACACACACACACACACACACACACACAAAACCCUUCAGCGGGCAUGUGCAUUUGUGUUUUGGCAGAUGUUCUGUCUUCCUCAGCAGGAAUCCACGGCACCUACUACCUGCACAGGCUCAGCCUCCACUCAGGACAUGGACAGUGGCUAUGGUGAUGGCCUGCAAGGAGAAUGCCUCAGAAAACCAGACCAGACGCAGCCCAAACUCUAUGGAGUAGGUGACCCCACGGCCACGUUCUCCUCUGACAGCUCCUGCCUGUCCUCCAGAGGAAGAGUCAUCAAAUGGUUCUGGGACUCGGCUGAGGAGGGCUACAGGACCUACCACAUGGAUGAGUAUGACGAGGACAAGAACCCCAGUGGCAUCAUUAACUUGGGCACCAGUGAAAACAAACUCUGCUUUGACCUUCUGUCCUGGCGGCUGACACAGGGUGACAUGCUUCAUGUGGAACCAUCUCUGCUGCAGUACCCUGACUGGAGAGGACAUUUGUUCCUCCGGGAAGAAGUGGCAAAGUUCUUGUCUUUCUAUUGUAAGAGCCCGGCACCCCUGAAACCAGAGAAUGUGGUUGUUCUGAAUGGCUGUGCCUCUCUCUUUUCCGCUCUGGCCACAGUGCUGUGUGAGGCAGGGGAGGCUCUCUUGAUCCCCACACCUUACUACGGAGCCAUCACUCAGCACAUCUAUCUCUAUGGCAACGUCCGACUGGCUUAUGUCUACCUAGACAGCAAGGUAACUGGAUUGAAUACACGCCCCUUCCAGCUCACCGUAGAGAAGCUGGAGAUGGUCCUGCAAGGAGUCAGUUCUGAGGGUGUCAAGGUCAAAGGCCUUAUCCUCAUCAACCCCCAAAACCCUCUGGGUGACGUCUACUCCCCGGAAGAGCUGCAGGACUUUCUGAGAUUUGCCAUGAGGCACAAGCUGCACGUGAUCAUGGAUGAGGUUUACAUGCUCUCUGUGUUUGAAGAGUCCCUUGGCUACCGCAGUGUCCUCAGCCUGGAGAGGCUGCCUGACCCCCAGAGGACACACGUGAUGUGGGCCACCAGCAAGACUGGAUCAGCCAGGUGUACCUGCCAGAAAACCAUGCCCGGCUCAAGGCUGCCCACACCUAUGUCUCAGAGGAACUCAGAGCCCUGGGGAUCCCCUUUGUGAGUCGCGGGGCAGGCUUCUUCAUCUGGGUUGACUUGAGAAAGUAUCUGUGCAAAGGCACCUUUGAGGAGGAGGCGUUAUUGUGGCGCCAAUUUUUGGACAACAAGGUGCUGCUGUCCUCCGGUAAGACCUUUGAGUGCAAAGAACCCGGCUGGUUCCGCGUGGUCUUCUCGGACAAGGAGAACCGGCUUCGCCUGGGAAUGCAAAGGAUGCGGCAGGUGCUUGAAGGACAAUCUCAAGUGGUAGAAGAUGCCUCUCCCUGUCACGCUCAGGAACCACAAAGCCAGCCCAGAUGAGCUGCCCAUUGCCUCUCACUGUUCCUGUGACCUGGCCCUGUGGGGCUACAGGAGACUGAGUGUGGAUGCGCCAUUUGUCAGUGGGACUCACGACUUGGCUUUGACCUUGAAGGACUUUUUCCUGCCCUCUGCUGACAGUGGGAGUCUGUUUAAACUGAUAUUCAUCUUGGGCUGUUGCUGCCCUGUAUUCAACAGGAUUAGGAUCAGCAGGAUGACUUUGUGAACAGUGUACAGUUUGGAGAGUCGUGACUGCUCCUAAUUACAGCUCCUUUCUAGGAUACAAGAGUGAAAAAGCAACUCUUCAUUCUUUGUGAUGGUGCCUUCCUGCCUCUUUCCUUGUUUCCAGGGAAACAAGCCAGAGGAUCAGCACACCGCGCACGUACACACACACACACACACACACACACACACACACACACACACACGAUAGCAUUCCAAGGAUGUUAUUCCAAAGCAUGUUCCAAUGGAUGGAAUGAAUUCUGUUUAUUCAGGUCUUUGGAGGCCCGGACAGGCCUCAGCUUGGGAUGUAGAGAGAAAUACUUCAUGGUGGGCGUUAGGAAGAUCUUCUUGGUGGAGCUGAAAUGCCUGGAUCAAGUUCUGGGAUUCACUUCUUACCUGGGAAGGAGAUGCCUUUAUUGCUGUUCCCGAAGAUAUGGCCUAGCAAUGGCUAGGGAAGGGGAAGGGACAGGAGGCUAUAUUUCUGAACCAAGGCUGUCUGGGGGCCAGGCAAAGAUUGGUCUUUCUGUGCUAAGAAAGCCUACGAAGGAGCUGCCUGUUCCAUUUGAGGGGUGCGUUAGUGAAGAUCCCAAAUGAAUGUCUGGUUGGUGGCCUGCAUGUACAGUACCUAGAGUCACAGCUGCAAGAGUAGCUGAGGCAGGAGGAUUACUUGCACCUGUAAGUUUGAGAUCAACCUGGGCAGGAGUCACAGAUGCAACAUAAACAGUGGAAAUCAGAAAAUUACUCCUGACCCCAGAAUGAACCCACUACAAGUGUGUCAGUGAAAACAGCAUAGCCCAGGCUGACCCAGACAGUCAGCCCAGGCUGGCCCAGACAGUCAGUUGUGCCUUGCAGGCGCCCUUCGCUGUGCUCAGGAUAUCCUCUCGCAGAUGAGGAAACUUAGUCUUAGAUGAAAUAAUAUUCCAAACCUCACAGCUACACACUCAAGGACCCAAGUGAGAGUAGUUUGCCUUGGUUCAGAAUCUGUGUGUGGUGGGUUGGAGAGAUGGCUCAGAGCUUAAGAACAUUUGCUUUUCUUCUGAGGACUUGAGUUCCCAUGGUGGGGCUCAUAACCAUCUGUAACUCCAGUUCUAGGGAUCUAAUUCCCCCUCUGGCCCUGUGGGCACUGUAUACACAUGUGCGCGCGCACACACACACACACACACAAAGCCAUAAAAAGGAAUCACAUGUGUACUGUUUAUUUGUGCGUUGCUUUCUGCUGUUUUCUUGGUUGGUCUGUAGAUUGCCUAUAUUUUCUGUUUUGUUUUUCUCUGUCAUUAGUUUAAUUUUCUUCCUUUUCUUAGAUUUUUUUUUUUUUGAUUUCCCCUCUUCAUCUUCUACUCAUUUUACCAUAUGCUGUAUUUUCCUGCUGGCUGUUAUCCUAGAAUAUAACACCUACAAACAAUUUGUUAAUAGGAAAGCAAACAUGCCUCAGCUUUCCCUAUAGCAAUGGGAGACCCCAAAUCCCUGGUGACCCCUGGC
Molecule: RNA transcript, 4853 nt
Organism: Mus musculus (house mouse)
Lineage: Eukaryota; Metazoa; Chordata; Mammalia; Rodentia; Muridae
Gene: Accs
Gene name: 1-aminocyclopropane-1-carboxylate synthase (inactive)
Exons: 13
Source: RefSeq, marked validated